RNAcentral lists this unclassified non-coding RNA (258 nucleotides) under Hevea brasiliensis (rubber tree). Lineage: Eukaryota; Viridiplantae; Streptophyta; Magnoliopsida; Malpighiales; Euphorbiaceae. The record is from RNAcentral.
UCUGCACUAGAUCCUAUCCAUUUUAUUUUCCAUUAUUUCUCUCCCUUGUCCAAAAUCACAUGCCAGCAAUCCUAGUAUGUGAACUCAAACCCUGAGGCCCUUCCUAGAAUGGCCGCUGGAAGCCUCCUAAAUUAAACAGAGUAUGGAUUAGGGCGGCGUCGCUAAUUCCAGGGAUAUGAGCAUAACCACCAGCAAGAGCACACCGUACACACUGCAACAGAACCAAAAUGUAUGCUAAUCCCACACCUGCCCAAUAAU